Molecule: non-coding RNA, 180 nt
Filed under: Nitrosomonas sp.
Lineage: Bacteria; Pseudomonadati; Pseudomonadota; Betaproteobacteria; Nitrosomonadales; Nitrosomonadaceae
Description: 6S RNA
Rfam family: 6S / SsrS RNA
About the family: E. coli 6S RNA was the first non coding RNA to be sequenced, but its function was unknown until recently.
Source: RNAcentral
UGUUCCCUGCGGUGUUAGUUAAGGCCCAUAUUCUUUGAACCAAUUUUUAGAAACAGGUUGCCCGCUAGAUUGAUACUGUUGUGUGUUUCCUCCUUUAGGGAGAUACCUGAUGUAUCCUGCAGCAACCGCCUUGGACCUGCUGGUUCAAGAGGACGGUCUAACGGCAUAUGUGGGGAGCUU